GAGAGAUCCGAGCUCCCGGGGGAAACGGGGAGACACCGGAAUUCCCAAGGAAAGCUGAGCAGUUUCUGCAGCAGGGAAUGGAGGGGAAUGUCAAGCUGAAAGAACCUCCUGCUGAAACUGCCUCACAGACUAACCCGAAGUAAGGAAUCACACGUUCUGAACGGCUGGAAGCAAAAGGCUCUUGGGAAAAUCGGGGGCUACACAGCAUUAUUAACUGUAAAUCACUACUCCGCUAGCCAUUAUUCUAUUGGAUUUUGACUCUUCGCUCCCAGAAUUCUCCUCUCCUUAAGCCGCUAUCCUCCUCCCUAACUAGUGGGUAGUAAAUCACUCCCUUGAGUUCCCGUGUGUCCUGUGCACAGCGGGGCCCACAGGGGUCUCUGUCUCCUUGUUGGGGUGGUGGCUGCGCCACCAGUCUGUGACCUCCGGGACAGCAGGGGGCGCCCCUUGCUCCUGCUUUCCACUGACUUAACACCUUUUAAGAAUCCUUGUUUCAAGUAUAUAGUUCUGGCCCAUAACAAUUACUGCUUAUUAAACCCAAAAUAGAAUAUGCCACAUUAA
Antechinus flavipes (yellow-footed antechinus) is the source of this 558-nucleotide long non-coding RNA. RefSeq lists it as uncharacterized. The transcript is spliced from 2 exons. NCBI's taxonomy places the organism in Eukaryota, Metazoa, Chordata, Mammalia, Dasyuromorphia, Dasyuridae. The record is from RefSeq and is a predicted model, not a curated record.